This 429-nucleotide ribosomal RNA is filed under the name uncultured bacterium. RNAcentral's name for it is "bacterial SSU rRNA". It matches the Rfam family "Bacterial small subunit ribosomal RNA", at positions 917 to 1345 of the family's 1533-position model. The record is from RNAcentral.
GGGCCCGCACAAGCGGUGGAGCAUGUGGAUUAAUUCGAAGCAACGCGAAGAACCUUACCUAGCCUUGACAUCCUUGGAACCUGCCCCAAAAGGCGGGGUGCCCCUCGGGGAAUCAAGUGACAGGUGCUGCAUGGCUGUCGUCAGCUCGUGUCGUGAGAUGUUGGGUUAAGUCCCGCAACGAGCGCAACCCUUGUCUUUAGUUGCCAGCAUUUAGUUGGGCACUCUAGAGAGACUGCCGGUGUCAAGCCGGAGGAAGGUGGGGACGACGUCAAGUCAUCAUGGCCCUUACGGCUAGGGCUUCACACGUGCUACAAUGGACGGUACAAAGGGUAGCGAAGCCGCGAGGUGGAGCCAAUCCCAAAAAGCCGCUCUCAGUUCGGAUUGGAGUCUGCAACUCGACUCCAUGAAGUCGGAAUCGCUAGUAAUCGU